CAGCUGUGGCACUAAGUUCAUCUGGCUCAUGAUGGAAUCCAUGACUAAAUGUGAAUUAAUGCAGCUGAAGUGCAGAAAGUGGAAUACCCUGUAUAGAACCAGAUUCCAGAUGUUACAAAGUCUUUGAAGUAUCAGUAGAGGAAAUGUCUUUUCCGAUUUAUUCUCAGACAAUAGCGCAUGUUGGCUUUUAAAUCAGCGUGGUAUUGAACUGAUGGUUGACUCUUUAUCUCCAAUAAUGCUAGAGGUCUACUUUUCCAUUCAGUCUGCUAGCUGCAAGGAGGUUUCAUCUUUUGGUGAAGAAGUUCUCAAGUAAUAUAGACGGAUAUUUUCAAUACUGUUUUAGAGAGAGCCAUGUCUUCAAGACCAGGAAGUAACAGAUAAAACCUCUUCUCCAACAUUGCUAUUCUAAAUCAUCUGUUUCACAUGCAGUGCGUAUGACAUAAUGGCUUUUGAUGAACAAAGCCUAAGAAGUUUAAGACUGUGUAAUAUGGAAUAUGAAGGUUGUCCUUUCAAACAAAUUUAUAGGAAAUUCAAGCUUGCUUCUGUAAUUAUGGACUUAAAUAUAGUAUGUGAGUAGAUCAUUUGAAAAGAUGCUUCCUGAAUUAUUAAUACAGUAUGUAAUAGCUGCUAAAUUAGGUUUUAUAAUUCUAAAUCAUCUUACGGAGUGUGAAGAGAAGUGUUCCAAAUGUAUCUUUGAAGACAGAGCUGGAAAGACAAAGCACUACAUUGAGAAUCCAGUGUCUGUGUCAUUCAUCCUGGUCACUGGGGCUUUACUGGUGUGCCCUUGACAUCAGGAUGGCAUUUCUAGGCAAAUGCUUUUGUACUUCUGUGAUAAUGUGGGAUCUGUAUCAGGUUAUUUUCAUCAAUAUUUGCAUUAUUGGGGUUAUUUAGGGAUAACAUAACAAUUACUUUAU
RNAcentral lists this long non-coding RNA (914 nucleotides) under Homo sapiens (human). RNAcentral describes it as "HSALNT0074608". Lineage: Eukaryota; Metazoa; Chordata; Mammalia; Primates; Hominidae. The record is from RNAcentral.